UACGUAGGUGACCAGCGUUGUCCGGAUUUACUGGGCGUAAAGAGCGCGCAGGCGGUCGUUCAAGUCGAGUGUGAAAGCCCCCGGCUCAACUGGGGAGGGUCACUCGAUACUGAUCGACUGGAAGGCAGGAGAGGGAAGCGGAAUUCCCGGUGUAGUGGUGAAAUGCGUAGAUAUCGGGAGGAACACCAGUGGCGAAGGCGGCUUCCUGGCCUGUUCUUGACGCUGAGGCGCGAAAGCGUGGGGAGCGAACAGG
Molecule: ribosomal RNA, 253 nt
Filed under: uncultured bacterium
Lineage: Bacteria
Description: partial 16S ribosomal RNA
Rfam family: Bacterial small subunit ribosomal RNA
Source: RNAcentral